UGCAGUCGAGCGGUAGAGAGAAGCUUGCUUCUCUUGAGAGCGGCGGACGGGUGAGUAAUGCCUAGGAAUCUGCCUGGUAGUGGGGGAUAACGCUCGGAAACGGACGCUAAUACCGCAUACGUCCUACGGGAGAAAGCAGGGGACCUUCGGGCCUUGCGCUAUCAGAUGAGCCUAGGUCGGAUUAGCUAGUUGGUGAGGUAAUGGCUCACCAAGGCGACGAUCCGUAACUGGUCUGAGAGGAUGAUCAGUCACACUGGAACUGAGACACGGUCCAGACUCCUACGGGAGGCAGCAGUGGGGAAUAUUGGACAAUGGGCGAAAGCCUGAUCCAGCCAUGCCGCGUGUGUGAAGAAGGUCUUCGGAUUGUAAAGCACUUUAAGUUGGGAGGAAGGGCAGUUACCUAAUACGUAUCUGUUUUGACGUUACCGACAGAAUAAGCACCGGCUAACUCUGUGCCAGCAGCCGCGGUAAUACAGAGGGUGCAAGCGUUAAUCGGAAUUACUGGGCGUAAAGCGCGCGUAGGUGGUUUGUUAAGUUGGAUGUGAAAUCCCCGGGCUCAACCUGGGAACUGCAUUCAAAACUGACAAGCUAGAGUAUGGUAGAGGGUGGUGGAAUUUCCUGUGUAGCGGUGAAAUGCGUAGAUAUAGGAAGGAAC
This 655-nucleotide ribosomal RNA is filed under the name Pseudomonas sp. AT-MI-36. Its description in RNAcentral is "bacterial SSU rRNA". It matches the Rfam family "Bacterial small subunit ribosomal RNA", at positions 56 to 707 of the family's 1533-position model. The record is from RNAcentral. Lineage: Bacteria; Pseudomonadati; Pseudomonadota; Gammaproteobacteria; Pseudomonadales; Pseudomonadaceae.